This 468-nucleotide ribosomal RNA is filed under the name uncultured bacterium. RNAcentral describes it as "partial 16S ribosomal RNA". It matches the Rfam family "Bacterial small subunit ribosomal RNA", at positions 28 to 507 of the family's 1533-position model. The record is from RNAcentral.
GACGAACGCUGGCGGCGUGCUUAACACAUGCAAGUCGAACGGAAAGGCCCUGCUUUUGUGGGGUGCUCGAGUGGCGAACGGGUGAGUAACACGUGAGUAACCUGCCCUUGACUUUGGGAUAACUUCAGGAAACUGGGGCUAAUACCGGAUAGGAGCUCCUGCUGCAUGGUGGGGGUUGGAAAGUUUCGGCGGUUGGGGAUGGACUCGCGGCUUAUCAGCUUGUUGGUGGGGUAGUGGCUUACCAAGGCUUUGACGGGUAGCCGGCCUGAGAGGGUGACCGGCCACGUUGGGCCUGAGAUACGGCCCAGCCUCCUAUGGGAGGCAGCAGUGGGGAAUAUUGCACAAUGGGCGGAAGCCUGAUGCAGCAACGCCGCGUGCGGGAUGACGGCCUUCGGGUUGUAAUCCGCUUUCGCCUGUGACGAAGCGUGAGUGACGGUAAUGGGUAAAGAAGCACCGGCUAACUACGUG